AAAUGCAGGAAACUUUGCAACAGAAAGAAAAUGGACAGAAUAGACUUUUAUUUCUACCUGGCAGGAAGUGCAGGGAGGAAGUGAUGUCAUGAAGCAGAUACACCUGUGAGCUGCUGCUAAUGAAAGAAGCCUGGAGAACAAAGGAGAUGAGUGAGAGCACUGGGAGGAACCAGGAGAUUUCAGGAGGAACUUCCCAGAUUGUGGUCAGUUCUCUUCUAAAGUGUGAUAUAUUAAAGUAAAGUGAGCAGUCUGGAAUAAACGGAGUAGAUUUAGAAUCCAGAAGCAGCUUUUUCCUGCUCUUGAACCACCUGCUGGAUAUGAACUGAUCCCAGGACAGGAGAUUCCGCCUCUUCAGCUGUUGGGAUGUCUGCACCAUUUGUUGGACCCUGGUGGAGGUAAGUUCAGUGUUUUUUCUGUCCAAAUCUCCAGACUUUAGGCUGCAUAAUCCUCACAUUAGCCUCUCCUGCCCUCCUCAGCUCCUCACCUACACUAAUUUACACUCCUUUAAACUCCCACUCCUCACAUUAACUCACCCAAACCUUCAAACUGAACUGAAAUGAACCCAUCAUUUCUUGAAGACAUUAUUUGGAUUUUUUCCUUCUUUAAUUAAGAAGCUUUUAGUGUCACCAUCAGGACACUGAAAUAGAAUCUGUCUUUUCUGCUUCUGUUGACUAAAUGGACUUGUGUGUUUGAGAUGUUUUUGUGUUUGAUGUGUUUUUGUGUUUGAUGUGUUCUGAUUUGGUUUGUGUCUAACCAGGUGUAGAUAAUGACAUUUAACUGAUGGCUACAGUUCUUUCCUGUCUGGUGUGGUUCUCUAGAAACAAACAUGAAGCCAUCUAGUCCAUUUAGUGGGAGUUUAAAGUAGUUUCUGUCUGGUGAUGAACUCAGUUUGAACCUUUGAAAUGAUCUAUAGAAUAGCAUUACUUUUAAUCCGACAACUCAAUAAGGAAAGGAUGGUUUUAUCUUGCUGACAUGUUUCUGCUGCAUCUGCAGUCUUCUUCAGAGCGUCAGAGGAUGUGUUGAUGGCGUGUUGAUGGCGUGCUGAUGGCGUGUUGAUGACGUGUUGAUGGCAUGUUGAUGGCGUGUUGAUGACGUGUUGAUGGCGUGUUGAUGACAUGUGAUGGCGUGGGAUGGCGUGUUGAUGUGUGUUGAUGACGUGUUGAUGGCGUGUUGAUGGCGUGUUGAUUGCGUGUUGAUGGCGUGUUGAUGACGUGUUGAUGGCAUGUUGAUGGCGUGUUGAUGACGUGUUGAUGGCGUGUUGAUGACAUGUGAUGGCGUGGGAUGGCGUGUUGAUGUGUGUUGAUGACGUGUUGAUGGCGUGUUGAUGGCGUGUUGAUUGCGUGUUGAUGGCGUGUUGAUGACGUGUUGAUGGCGUGCUGAUGGCGUGUUGAUGACGUGUUAAUGGCGUGUUGAUGAUAUGUAAUGGCAUGUGAUGGCGUGUUGAUGGCGUGUUGAUGGCGUGUUGAUGACAUGUAAUGGCGUGUGAUGGCGUGUUGAUGGCGUGUUGAUGACAUGUGAUGGCGUGUGAUGGCGUGUUGAUGACGUGUUGAUGGCAUGUUGAUGACGUGUGAUGGCAUAUUGAUGACGUGUUGAUGGCGUGUUGAUGACGUGUUGAUGGUGUGUUGAUUGUGUGUUGAUGGCGUGUUGAUGACGUGUUGAUGACGUGUUGAUGGCGUGUUGAUGACGUGUUGAUGGCAUGUUGAUGACAUGUAAUGGCGUGUGAUGGCGUGUUGAUGGUGUGUUAAUGACGUGUUGAUGGCGUGUUGAUGGCGUGUUGAUGGCGUGUUGAUGGCGUGUUGAUGGCGUGUUGAUGACAUGUAAUGGCGUGUGAUGGCGUGUUGAUGGCGUGUUGAUGGCGUGUUGAUGACGUGUUGAUGGCGUGUUGAUGGCGUGUUGAUGACGUGUUGAUGGCGUGUUGAUGACAUGUAAUGGCAUGUGAUGGCGUGUUGAUGGUGUGUUGAUGACGUGUUGAUGGCGUGUUGAUUGCGUGUUGAUGGCGUGUUGAUGACGUGUUGGUGGCGUGUUGAUGGCAUGUUGAUGACGUGUUAAUGGCGUUUUGAUGACAUGUAAUGGCGUGUGAUGGCGUGUUGACGUGUUGAUGGCGUGUUGAUGACAUGUAAUGGUGUGUGAUGGCGUGUUGAUGGCGUGUUGAUGACGUGUUGAUGGCAUGUUGAUGACGUGUUGAUGGCGUGUUGAUGGCAUGUUGAUGACGUGUUGAUGGCGUGUUGAUGACAUGUAAUGGCAUGUAAUGGCGUGUUGAUGGUGUGUUGAUGACGUGUUGAUGGCGUGUUGAUUGCGUGUUGAUGGCGUGUUGAUGGCGUGUUGAUGGCGUGUUGAUGACGUGUUAAUGGCGUGUUGAUGACAUGUAAUGGCGUGUGAUGGCGUGUUGACGUGUUGAUGGCGUGUUGAUGACAUGUAAUGGCGUGUGAUGGCGUGUUGAUGGCGUGUUGAUGACGUGUUGAUGGCAUAUUGAUGACGUGUUGAUGGCGUGUUGAUGAUGUGUUGAUGGCGUGUUGACGUGUGAUGACGUGUUGAUGGCCUUUUUAUCACGUGAUCGGUCUAACAGACCGGUCAGAAUCUGUCAGACUGAUCACGCCAUCCGGUGGUCUCUGGAGGAUGGAGUCCAGGUUCCCGGUUCAUUUAACAGCUCCCUCACUUCCUGGUCUCUAAGGCCUCCUUAAUCCAUGGUUUGUGUUUGUUGGUCUCUGAUGUUAAAUCCUCCCCCUGUCCCAGUCCAUGAUGUGCUUGUUUCUUUUACAGUGGUCCCUGAUGGCUGAUUUUUUUGUUUGCUUCAUCUGCUUUUUCUUUUUAUCUUCUUGUGAGUCGUCCAGCUGUUUCCUUUAUUCUGUCUGCUGUUCCUUUCUUCUUGUGUUGAAUGAUCUUCCAGUUUCUCCAGUGUAUGUUUUAUCACAUGAUUUACACGGAGUUUCAUAUAUGAUGCUGCAUUUUUUGUCUUUUGGAUGGACUAAUAGCUGCUGCAGUUUUCUAUGUGGUUCUACUGCUGUGUUGAUGUUGUGUUUUCUCAUUAUGGGAUGUAUGGGUUCUGUUGUCCCUCAGAUAUAUGGAAUGCUGAUUAUGUCUUCAUUUUUAUUGUCUGGUUUUUGUGUAUGUUUUGUUUUUGUUUGUUUUAGUUUUUUCUCUUUGUUUUUGGCUUGUUGUUUUCCUUUGUUUAUGGCCCAUAUGGGAUAUUGGUAGUGUGUGAGUGAGUUCUGAUGUCUUUUUCCUCCUCCUUUCUGUCUUUAUCAUCGGUUAUGAUGCUGGUCUGUUCUAAUAGUGUUCUAACUGGUAGUUUGUGUUCUGUGGAUGUUCUGAUGUCCAGAGGAGGUUCUGGUCCGUUCUAAUAGUGUUCUAACUGGUAGUUUGUGUUCUGUGGGUGUUCUGAUGUCCAGAGGAGGUUCUGGUCCGUUCUAAUAGUGUUCUAACUGGUAGUUUGUGUUCUGUGGGUGUUCUGAUGUCCAGAGGAGGUUCUGGUCCGUGUGUGUGGGUUUCCUGUAAACUGUUAUUUUGAUGCUGCUGUCUUCUCUGUGGUGAAUGUUCAUGUCCAGGAAUGAAAUGGUCCGGUUUAUUUCCUCUUCGUGUGUGGAUUGUAUGUUUCCCGUGUCGUCCAUGUUGUUCAGAUGAUCAGUGAGUUCUUGUGUGUGUCCAGAUUUUAUUAUUUCCAGGAUGUCGUGGACGUAUCUUCUCCAGAGUGUGGGUCUGCAGAGUGGGGAUGGCUUUGGUUUCCAGGUCCUCCAUGAAAAAGUUACUCAUUAUGGCUGAAAGUGGAUCUUUUUUUCAACUUUAUUUUACCAGCAUUAAAACCUUGUCUGCAGAGAGAAAAGAACGACUCCGUUUUUUGCCAGACUGGAGGAUGUUGGAGGGAGUCUGUUAAUCUCUCUGGACCUGACAUUUGAAAACCUCCACCUCUCCUCACCCUCCCAGCCCACUGAUGUGAGGAAAUCCAGCUCUGAACAGACUGAACUCCUAAAUCCCUCCUGGAAGCUUCACCCUGAACAGACAACUGCAACGCCGUGGUAACGGGCAGAUUACAGGAGACCCCACACACCCAUCCCACAACCUGUUCAGCCUGCUGCCAUCAGGGAGGAGACUGAAGAGUCUGAGGACCAGGACCAGCCGACUGAGCAACAGCUUCAUCCACCAGGCUGUCAGGAAGCUGAACUCUCUCCCCUCUCUGCCCUCUCUACCACCCCCUUCCCCCACAUACACAAACUCUGGUCAAUAACCUCUGACCUGCACUGUAAUAGCACAUUCAACCAUCAAGCAUAUUUGCACUUCUUGGACUGUUACUUAUUUGCACUGUUCUGAGUAUUCUGCACUAAAAUCCGUCACUUUAUCUCAUAGUCAUGUUUACAUUUCACUCAGUUCUGCUUUUCUUAGUUCUUCGUUGUUGCUCAGCUCUAAUUUUGCUUCCUUUGUUCUUUUUUGCCCUUUAAUAUCUUAUUUUCUAAGUCUUUAUUUAAUGUCUACUGUUGCACGAAGAGAGAAGAGCGAAAUUUCGAUUCUUGGUAUGUCAUGUACAUAUUGAAGAAUUGACAAUAAAGCUGACUUUGACUUUGAAAUCACUGAAAACUGUUCAAAAUGAAUCCAAAUGACUUGAUUUGCUCAAAAAAGUGGAAUCUUUGUGCAAAAUGAUCCAAAAACUUUUUCUAAUUGACUAAAUUGUAUAAAAUUACCCAAACAUUUGCCCAAAAAGAUUCAAAAUGUAUGUGAUAAGUUGAUGUGAUCUUCUUGUUAAGCACAUUUAACUUCUAGAAUUAGGGUUAGGGUUUUAGGAAUCUAACGUUCCUAAAACUGAUUUAAUGGUUAAAGAUAGAUGCAUACAAAUAUAUUUUCUAAUAUACGCGAGUUUGCACACUGUAUGCAAGUAUUUUUGCUCUAUAUUAAUUCUACAUUACAGGUUGUUUACAUUUUUAAAAACAUUUUUACAUACGUUGUUUUACAUACAAUGUCUUUGACAUGUUUUAGUUCUUCAGUGAACAGUUUUUAUGUCUGAUCUUGUUGUUGAAUCAGUUUUAGACAUGUUUAACUUCUAGAAUUGAAAAGAAAAGAGUCUAAAGAACCUUUCCUUAAACUGAUUUAAUGGUUAAAGAUAGAUGCAUAUAAUAUUUUUUUUGUCAAAUUUAUGCCAGUUUGCUCACUCUGUAUUAGUUCUAGAUUACAGGUUUUCUACAUUUCUGCACACAGAAUCUUCUCUCUAAUGUCUUUAACACAUUUUAGUUCUUCUGUGAACAGUUUUUAUGCCUGAUCUUCUUGUUAGAUCAGUUUUAGACACGUUUAACUUCUAGAAUUUAAAAAAAAGAGUCUAACCCUAACAAACUGUCCUGAAACUUGUAAAAUGAAUAAACAGAGUGAUGGACUGCAGUUUGUUUUAUUUUCUGUUCAGCUGAAUCUCAGUUGAAUCCUGAUUUCUGUGCAUCAUAAAGAGAAACAGUUUAUGAUAAA
This is a long non-coding RNA of Amphiprion ocellaris (clown anemonefish), 5442 nucleotides long. RefSeq lists it as uncharacterized. The transcript is spliced from 3 exons. Lineage: Eukaryota; Metazoa; Chordata; Actinopteri; Pomacentridae. The record is from RefSeq and is a predicted model, not a curated record.